GGAAGUAAAAGUCGUAACAAGAUCUCCGUUGGUGAACCAGAGGAGGGAUCAUUACAGGACUCGCAAGACUCCUUCACCCUGUGAACCUCACUACAAGCACGUUGCUUCGGCGGGUGUCCCGGCGGGGGUUUUCCCUCGCCGGGGCGCACAGCCCGCCGGCAGCCUACUAUACUCUGUCUCUUUGCGUUGGCAUCUCGAGAAAAAACAAACAAGUUAAAACUUUCAACAACGGAUCUCUUGGUUCUG
RNAcentral lists this unclassified non-coding RNA (246 nucleotides) under plant metagenome. Its description in RNAcentral is "partial contains small subunit ribosomal RNA, internal transcribed spacer 1, and 5.8S ribosomal RNA". The stretch from base 1 to 54 matches the Rfam family "Eukaryotic small subunit ribosomal RNA", at positions 1778 to 1831 of the family's 1831-position model. The record is from RNAcentral.